CGCGUAUGCAACCUACCCUGUACAGGGGGAUAACCCGGAGAAAUUCGGACUAAUAUCCCGUAAUAAUAUCCGGAGGCAUCUUUGGAUAUUUAAAGUUCCGACGGUACGGGAUGGGCAUGCGUAACAUUAGCUGGUUGGUAAGGUAACGGCUUACCAAGGCUAUGAUGUUUAGGGGUCCUGAGAGGGUGGUCCCCCACACUGGUACUGAGACACGGACCAGACUCCUACGGGAGGCAGCAGUGAGGAAUAUUGGUCAAUGGGCGCAAGCCUGAACCAGCCAUCCCGCGUGCAGGAAGACGGCCCUAUGGGUUGUAAACUGCUUUUCCAGGGAGAGAAACUUACGCACGUGUUGCGUGACUGACGGUACCCUGGGAAUAAGCAUCGGCUAACUCCGUGCCAGCAGCCGCGGUAAUACGGAGGAUGCAAGCGUUAUCCGGAUUCAUUGGGUUUAAAGGGUGCGUAGGCGGGCUAUUAAGUCAGUGGUGAAAUCCUGCAGCUUAACUGCAGAACUGCCGUUGAUACUGAUAGUCUUGAGUUUGGUUAAGGUAGGCGGAAUGUGUAAUGUAGCGGUGAAAUGCUUAGAUAUUACACAGAACACCAAUUGCGUAGGCAGCUUACUGAGCCGACACUGACGCUGAGGCACGAAAGCGUGGGGAUCAAACAGGAUUAGAUACCCUGGUAGUCCACGCCGUAAACGAUGAUUACUCGCUGUUGGCGAUACACUGUCAGCGGCUAAGCAAAAGCAAUAAGUAAUCCACCUGGGGAGUACGGCCGCAAGGUUGAAACUCAAAGGAAUUGACGG
This 802-nucleotide ribosomal RNA is filed under the name uncultured bacterium. Its description in RNAcentral is "bacterial SSU rRNA". It matches the Rfam family "Bacterial small subunit ribosomal RNA", at positions 114 to 916 of the family's 1533-position model. The record is from RNAcentral.